AUACGUAUGUCGCAAGCGUUAUCCGGAAUUAUUGGGCGGAAAGCGAGUCUAGGCGGCUUGUUAAGUCAGAUGUGAAAAUGCGGGGCUCAACUCCGUAUUGCGUUUGAAACUGGCAGGCUAGAGUACUGGAGAGGUGGGCGGAACUACAAGUGUAGAGGUGAAAUUCGUAGAUAUUUGUAGGAAUGCCGAUAGUGAAGACAGCUCACUGGACAGAUACUGACGCUAAAGCUCGAAAGCGUGGGGAGCGAACAGGAUUAGAAACCCUAGUAGUCC
Molecule: ribosomal RNA, 273 nt
Filed under: uncultured bacterium
Lineage: Bacteria
Description: partial 16S ribosomal RNA
Rfam family: Bacterial small subunit ribosomal RNA
Source: RNAcentral